RNA transcript from Cannabis sativa, 846 nucleotides. RefSeq lists it as uncharacterized. Lineage: Eukaryota; Viridiplantae; Streptophyta; Magnoliopsida; Rosales; Cannabaceae. The record is from RefSeq and is a predicted model, not a curated record. The transcript has 9 exons.
AAGAGGAAACAAGAGCACGAUCGACUCCAUAAUUAUCCUUCUUAGGCAAAAGUUUUGGAAGAUGCUUGCAAAGAUGACACCGAGCUCCGAGCUGUUCUUGGUGAUAGCAUAGGCAAUCCUGAGCUUAUGAGGAAGAAGGUUGAAGAAAGAGUUCGGACAAAGGGUAGAGACUUCAGCAAAUCAAAAACCGGUUCUGUUCUUGCUUUCAAAGUCAGCUUUAGAGACUUCAACCCUAUUGAUUCAUACAUAUGGUUUGAACUAUAUGGUUCACCGACUGAUCGAGAUGUUGAUAUUAUUGGUAGUGUUAUUCGAUCAUGGUAUGUCCUCGGUCGCUUAGGUUCAUUCAACUCUUCUAAUCUUCAGCUGAAAGCCUUACUAAUAUGUAUCGAUGGGCAGUUGGCCAAUUCAUCCGUAGAGUAUGAUCCUCUUUAUGAUGCAGAGAAGGGUUUCAAAGUUAUUCCCUCAUCAUUUCAUGACAUCAGUGACAUUAAAUUUCAGGACAACUGGGGUAGUGUCUGGGUUGACCUUGGUACAGUAGAUAAUUUUGCCAUUGAUGCACUUUUCAACUGCUUGACAGUCUUGAGUUCAGAUAGAUGCGAAAAGGGAGGAAUCUGUGGGCAUCUGGGUGGGAGCAAUGAGGACUGGAGACACUUCUAAAAUGGGUCGAACAACAAUAAAAGUGGUUAGCAAUGAGAGGAAAAUUAAAAUGUGACAAACAAUGAUUGAGCUGAAGAUGAUUAUAGAGGGAGGAUAAUUUCAGUUGGGAUAUGCCAGGUCCCUAUUUGCUGAAGUUUUUCUUUUGACUUUGGAAUUGACCAACUUACAAAGCCCACGACGUAUUAAUGA